Varroa destructor (honeybee mite) is the source of this 1534-nucleotide long non-coding RNA. The record is from RefSeq and is a predicted model, not a curated record. Lineage: Eukaryota; Metazoa; Arthropoda; Arachnida; Mesostigmata; Varroidae.
CGGCGGCGGUGAUGGAAACCGCUGCAGGCUGGAUAUGGAAGUGCGGGAUGCCUCGUGGAUCAUUUCCUGCCUCGUCGUUCUUUCGUCUUCUUCUACUGCUCCCUCUUCAUCACACACAGGACAUGGAUGCGUACGUGUGUGUGUUUGUGUCGACGUAAUCGGUGCGAUUGGUUUCGUCGUUUCGUCGGAGAGGGUAGACAAUCCGGCGUCCGCUAAGCACUUCCCGCCCAAAUUUUCGUCGGCCGUCAUCAUUUCAGUACAAAUGCGCCAGCAGGCAUCUAUCUGUUAUAGCAUGCUGCGGCUAUGGGCGCAUUCGCCGAAGAACACGUUGAAGCUAUGAGGAGGAAUAUGGGCAAAGGCAACUUCCACACACAACUCCCAACACAAACAAUCACCAAACGGACGUUUAUCGCCUUCUGUUUGGAUGCGCUCUAAUAAACAUAUGAUGUAUUUAGAAAAAAAAGCCAUAAGUCAGUGAUACCGUUAAAUUUUUUUGUAGGACCUAUAUGGCUUCAGAUUGAAGUUGUUGAGCGAUAUUUAAUUUAAAGCGCCGAAGCAAUGCACUUUUUUUUAUCUAAAUAGGAUAUGCUAGAUCUUUUAUAUACAUGAGUAUAUAUCCAGUAAGAGUAUGCCAAUGUACACAGUUUUUGUGGCUUUUUGUUGAUGGCGCUAACGAUGUUCAAAUAUGAAUAUUAUUAAUUUGAAGAUCUCACUCGAUUGCGAAGGUUUGGCCACAGGUGAAAACAAGGUGAUUGUUAGACGCGUUCGUUCGCAAUAUUCAAACAGCACUUGCACCGUGACAACGUGACAUAAAUAUUUCCUAUUUGAGCCAUAAUAGAAAAUGAAUGAACCUCUUUAGGCUAAACAUGUUUGAGGUCGUAGGGAUUGUGCGAUCAUUUUAGCAAAGAAAAAUGCAGUCUUUUCUUUUUAUUUGUUUACUUCCUUAUGUUUUAUGUUUGUCAACGUGCAGGCACUCUGGCGUGCACGGAUCUGACUCGACAGAAACCUGUACUGCAAUAACAUGUUUAAUAUUACCUGAAAUACGAUGCUGCAGUGUCAAUUAUUUGACACUUCAAUCCACCACACGACCAGUAGAUUACACCAGAAGACUGCCGACCGCUUCGUGUCCUCUCGUCCUUCAGUAGGCCGUACAGUCAAGUUCGUGAUUUACCUCAGUCACAAGGACAACGCUCGUCAAUAUCAACUUCCACACCGGCGAACUACUUUUACGUACUCAAAUGGCUAAACAAGCGCACACAGGUUUCUAUCAAUAACAACGGCCGUCAAGAAAACCACUACAAUGGGACGGCAAACAUUAUUAUAAUUCACGGGAGUACUUCACAAUUGCUCCGUAAUUCUGCUUUACCAAUCGAUUAACUAACUGGUCGACUGCCAGCGAUUGAUUAAAUAGAAGCACCUCCUUUUCCUUAAUAAACGCAUGGACAAACUAAAAAAUCCCAGAGACUUAUUUGAAAGCUCUUCACAGAUGUCUAUAAAUUAUGAGAAUAAAUAACCACUAUUUUAACAUCAAUUA